RNAcentral lists this ribosomal RNA (310 nucleotides) under Camponotus sp. W.Moore lab DNA4767. RNAcentral's name for it is "partial 28S ribosomal RNA". It matches the Rfam family "Eukaryotic large subunit ribosomal RNA", at positions 713 to 1137 of the family's 3401-position model. The record is from RNAcentral. Lineage: Eukaryota; Metazoa; Arthropoda; Insecta; Hymenoptera; Formicidae.
CGCGGCGUUCAACCGAGGGAGGAUGGGCCGCGUCGCGAUGCGGCCUCGCACUCCCGGGGCGUCUCGUUCUCAUCGCUGGAAGAGGCGCACCCAGAGCGUACACGUUGGGACCCCAAAGAUGGUGAACUAUGCCUGGUCAGGACGAAGUCAGGGGAAACCCUGAUGGAGGUCCGUAGCGAUUCUGACGUGCAAAUCGAUCGUCGGAACUGGGUAUAGGGGCGAAAGACUAAUCGAACCAUCUAGUAGCUGGUUCCUUCCGAACUGGGUAUAGGGCGAAAGACUAAUCGAACCAUCUAUAGUGGUUCCUUCC